GAUGAACGCUGGCGGCGUGCCUAAUACAUGCAAGUCGAGCGAACAGAUAAGGAGCUUGCGCCUUUGACGUUAGCGGCGGACGGGUGAGUAACACGUGGGUAACCUACCUAUAAGACUGGGAUAACUUCGGGAAACCGGAGCUAAUACCGGAUAACAUGUGGAACCGCAUGGUUCUAAAGUGAAAGAUGGUUUUGCUAUCACUUAUAGAUGGACCCGCGGCGUAUUAGCGAGUUGGUAAGGUAACGGCUUACCAAGGCGACGAUACGUAUCGGACCUGAGAGGGUUCUCCGCCACUGGGGCAGUGACACGCGCCACAGACCUCUACGGGGGGCAGCAGUGGAGUAUCGUACGAAAGGGGCGAACGUCAGCCGGCGCUACGGCGCGUGUGAGAUGAAGGGUUUCGGUGUGAAAACCUCUGUUAGUAGGGAAAAACAAAUGUGUAAGUAACUGUGCACGCUUAGACGACACAUAAUCAGAGAGCCACGGCUCACCAUG
RNAcentral lists this ribosomal RNA (495 nucleotides) under uncultured bacterium. Its description in RNAcentral is "partial 16S ribosomal RNA". It matches the Rfam family "Bacterial small subunit ribosomal RNA", at positions 28 to 505 of the family's 1533-position model. The record is from RNAcentral.